RNAcentral lists this ribosomal RNA (480 nucleotides) under uncultured bacterium. RNAcentral describes it as "partial 16S ribosomal RNA". It matches the Rfam family "Bacterial small subunit ribosomal RNA", at positions 29 to 523 of the family's 1533-position model. The record is from RNAcentral.
AAUGAACGUUGGCGGCGUGGAUUAGGCAUGCAAGUCGAGCGCGAACCCCGCAAGGGGUGAAAGCGGCGAAAGGGAGAGUAACGCGUGGGUAUUUACCCUCGGGACUGGGAUAGCUGCGGGAAACUGCAGGUAAUACCAGAUGACGUCCCCGGACCAAAGGUGUGAUUCCGCCUGAGGAUAAGCCCGCGUCCUAUUAGCUAGUUGGUGAGGUAAUGGCUCACCAAGGCAAUGAUGGGUACUGGGUGUGAGAGCACGACCCAGCUCACUGGGACUGAGAGACUGCCCAGACACCUACGGGUGGCUGCAGUCGAGAAUCUUCGGCAAUGGGCGCAAGCCUGACCGAGCGACGCCGCGUGUGGGAUGAAGGCCUUCGGGUUGUAAACCGCUGUCAGAGGGGAGGAAUGGGCGGAGGGUAAUCUCUUCGUUUUGACCUAUCCUCAGAGGAAGUACGGGCUAACUACGUGCCAGCCGCCGCAGUAA